RNAcentral lists this transfer RNA (125 nucleotides) under Pyrobaculum sp. OCT_11. RNAcentral describes it as "tRNA-OTHER". The record is from RNAcentral. Lineage: Archaea; Thermoproteati; Thermoproteota; Thermoprotei; Thermoproteales; Thermoproteaceae.
GGGCCGGUAGUCUAGCCGGAAGGAUGCCCAGCCGCGUGGCGCUGGGCCCGCGGCGCACACGCCUUGCACGCGGGCGGACCCGGGUUCGGGGGAGAACCCGCCUAGAAAUCCCGGCCGGUCCACCA